GCAACCGCAGCCCAGCCCCAGUCAGGGAGGAAGUUCUGCCGGGCGCUCUCCGCCGGUGCCUCACUGGUUAUACUGCUAUACAGGAAACCUGGCAGCGCCGGAGCCGCGCGGUCGAGGAGGGAGCGCGGGACGCCGAGCCCACGCGCGCCUGCCGGGACAAGUGGAGACGAGGCCGGCGAGCGGACGCCCCGAGGUUGGCGAAGGAGCUGUGGCCGGGUCCCCUUCUUAUCCAGCCCGAGACACUGCGCUCCGGUGGGCGUCCCUGCGCUGGGAAUCCCGCUCGGAGUUUUUCCAGGCCCGGCCGGGUUGCUCCGGGAAAGGCCCUGUUGGGGGAGGUGGGCCCGGAGCUGUCAGGUCUACAAUCCGGUUGGAAGGGCUCGCAGUGGGUGAUUCAGGGUGCCAAUGACCUCCCCACGAACGGGAACGCCCGCACUAGACAACCAGCCCCAGACCGGCAUUCCCAGAGCCGCAGGCGGGAGGGACGCAGGGACUCCGGGACAGCAAAUCCCCGGGGGAGAAGGGAAGGGGGAAGGCGGGGCAGGGGAGGCCCACCCUCCUUGGGCUCCGCUAGCGACCAGCCAGCGCCCCUUCAGACGCAGCCUUCCUGGCUCCGGAUCCCGGCUUUCUGCUCCGGUCCUCGUCCCAAUGCCCCCCAAGGUCCCCAGCAGAGGCAUUCAGGUUCCUCCUCGCCCCGCCCAGACGCAGCUUCUUUGGGUAUGGGUGACAGCACUCCUGAGCGUCGCUGUCCCUAUUCGCUGCCGUUGCCAGCUCCGAUUCCGCGAAACCUCUCCGGCACCACCUCGGAAGCCCCGCCCAGGGCGAUGGUCCGGGCCUAACCUGCCGGCCCCGCCCACCCGGCCCUUGGGCUCCCUGAGGCCCGCCCAGCAGACACCGGAGAGCAAUGGUGUGAUCUCCGCACACUGCAACCUCUGCCGCCAGGGUUCAAGUGGUUCUCCUGCCUCAGCCUCCCAAGCAGAUGGGACUACAGCUUUCUCCCUUUGUCUCAUAACCAUGUCCACCAACGAGAAUGCUAAUACACGAGCUGCCCACCUUCACAGAUUUAAGAACAAGGGAAAGGACAGUACAGAAACGAGGCGUCACAGAAUAGAGGUCAGUGUGGAGCUGAGGAAAGCUAAGAAGGAUGACCAGAUGCUGAAGAGGAGAAAUGUAAGCUCAUUUCCUGAUGAUGCUACUUCUCCGCUGCAGGAAAACUGCAACAACCAGACUCCUGCCCUAAGAGCCAUAGGGAAUAUUGUCACUGGUACAGAUGAACAGACUCAGGUUGUGAUUGAUGCAGGAGCACUCGCCGUCUUUCCCAGCCUGCUCGCCAACCCCAAAACUAACAUUCAGAAGGAAGCUACGUGGACAAUGUCAAACAUCACAGCCGGCCGCCAGGACCAGAUACAGCAAGUUGUGAAUCAUGGAUUAGUCCCAUUCCUUGUCAGCGUUCUCUCUAAGAUUUUGAGACACAAAAGGAAGCUGUAUGGGCCGUGGAACAGUUGAACAGAUUGUGUACCUUGUUCACUGUGGCAUAAUAGAACCGUUGAUGAACCUCUUACCUGCAAAAGAUACCAAGAUUAUUCUGGUUAUCCUGGAUGCCAUUUCAAAUAUCUUUCAGGCUGCUGAGAAACUAGGUGAAACUGAGAAACUUAGUACAAUGAUUGAAGAAUGUGGAGGCUUAGACAAAAUUGAAGCUCUACAAAACCAUGAAAAUGAGUCUGUAUAUAAGGCUUCAUUAAGCUUAACUGAGAAGUAUUUCUCUGUAGAGCUGCCAGAGCAGAGCUAAGCCACCCAUUGCUGGAGAGGACAUCCACGCAGGCCUGGACGAGCCGGACUGCCUUACUAAGGAUUUCCUCCGUAUCCGACUGCAACUCAGCACUCAGCUGCAUGCGGGACAGGAAGAGGAAGAUCAAAACGUUGUGCCAGAAACUACCUCUGAAGGCUACACUUUCCAAGUUCAGGAUGGGGCUCCUGGGACCUCUAACUUUUAGAUCAUGUAGCUGAGACAUAAAUUUGUUGUGUACUAUGUUUGGUAUUUUGUCUUAUUGUUUCUCUACUAAGAACUCUUUCUUAAAUGUGGUUUGUUAUUGUAGCACUUUUCACACUGAAACUAUACUUGAACAGUUCCAACUGUACAUACUGUAUGAAGCUUGUCCUCUGACUAGGUUUCUAAUUUCUAUGUGGAAUUUCCUAUCUUGCAGCAUCCUGUAAAUAAACAUUCAAGUCCACCCUUUUCUUGACUUC
This 2244-nucleotide small RNA is filed under the name Pan troglodytes (chimpanzee). Its description in RNAcentral is "processed transcript". The record is from RNAcentral. Lineage: Eukaryota; Metazoa; Chordata; Mammalia; Primates; Hominidae.